AUUUCCACUCAGUAUUCAUGGAUGAGGGAUGUGGUUCAGGAGUCAAUCUUUUCCGCUCAGCAUUUGAAGCCAAUUGACCAGACUCCACCUUAAAACCAUCAAAACGUGAAUUCCAUCGUUCAUUCUCCUCCGGAUAAGGUAGAUUUGAGUUCAUCAUCCGCUCAGGGAUCUGUCUAUGAAUCAAUCUUUUCUGCUCAGCAUUUGAAGCCAAUUGACCAGACUCCACCUUAAAACCAUCAAAACGUGAAUUCCAUCGUUCAUUCUCCUCCGGAUAAGGUAGAUUUGAGUUCAUCAUCCGCUCAGGGAUCUGUCUAUGAACAAGAGAUCCAGAAUCAAAGUUUUUAUCAAGAACCUCGGCUUGGGAAAAUUCAUGGUAAUCCCUGUGUUUUGCUGGUUCCAUAUCAGUGAAAGGAUAU
This 416-nucleotide long non-coding RNA is filed under the name Nicotiana benthamiana. RNAcentral's name for it is "long non-coding RNA (NBEN_LNC010054)". The record is from RNAcentral. Lineage: Eukaryota; Viridiplantae; Streptophyta; Magnoliopsida; Solanales; Solanaceae.